UCGAAGCUUUGAAACUCCAUGGUCUUUUAUCUACUCCUAAAUUCUUGGCUAAGUUCACAAAGAUUUUAUGUAUGAUCUUUGGCUUAUUCUUCAAACCAUAAUCGAUGAAUGAAAUUCACUCGACCACUUAUCUCGAUGCUGAAAUUGUAGUAUAUGAUUAACUCGACCUGAACCUCCUGGCGAAAACAUCUCACUGUACCAACUCCGUAAACUGAAUCUUCAAUCGGUCCCAUACCUUGCGUAGAAAAUACUACUUCUUGAACUCUUGAAAUCUGUCCAACCCAAUC
Molecule: long non-coding RNA, 287 nt
Filed under: Brassica napus (rape)
Lineage: Eukaryota; Viridiplantae; Streptophyta; Magnoliopsida; Brassicales; Brassicaceae
Description: long non-coding RNA (BNAP_LNC026681)
Source: RNAcentral